This 445-nucleotide ribosomal RNA is filed under the name uncultured Candidatus Odyssella sp. RNAcentral describes it as "bacterial SSU rRNA". It matches the Rfam family "Bacterial small subunit ribosomal RNA", at positions 8 to 489 of the family's 1533-position model. Lineage: Bacteria; Pseudomonadati; Pseudomonadota; Alphaproteobacteria; Holosporales; Candidatus Paracaedibacteraceae. The record is from RNAcentral.
AGAGUUUGAUCCUGGCUCAGAACGAACGCUGGCGGCAUGCCUAACACAUGCAAGUCGAACGGGAUCCUGGCUUCGGUCAGGUGAGAGUGGCGGACGGGUGAGUAACGCGUGGGAACCUGCCCAGUGGUGGGGGAUAACUGCGGGAAACUGCAGCUAAUACCGCAUGAUCCCGAGAGGGGAAAGAUUUAUCGCCAUUGGAGGGGCCCGCGUUCGAUUAGGUAGUUGGUGAGGUAAUGGCUCACCAAGCCGACGAUCGAUAGCUGGUCUGAGAGGAUGAUCAGCCACACUGGGACUGAGAUACGGCCCAGACUCCUACGGGAGGCAGCAGUGGGGAAUAUUGGACAAUGGGGGCAACCCUGAUCCAGCAAUGCCGCGUGAGUGAUGAAGGCCUUCGGGUUGUAAAGCUCUUUUGGCGGGGACGAUGAUGACGGUACCCGCAGAAUAG